This 292-nucleotide ribosomal RNA is filed under the name uncultured bacterium. RNAcentral describes it as "partial 16S ribosomal RNA". It matches the Rfam family "Bacterial small subunit ribosomal RNA", at positions 505 to 796 of the family's 1533-position model. The record is from RNAcentral.
GUGCCAGCAGCCGCGGUAAUACGUAGGAGGCGAGCGUUGUCCGGAGUUACUGGGCGUAAAGCGCACGCAGGCGGUCAGAUUAGUCUGUGGUGACAGUCGUCGGCUCAACUGACGAAGUACCAUGGAAACUGUCUGACUUGAGGGCUUCAGAGGGACACGGAAUUCCGGGUGGAGUGGUGAAAUGCGUAGAUAUCCGGAGGAACACCAAAGGCGAAGGCAGUGUCCUGGGAAGUACCUGACGCUCAGGUGCGAAAGCUAGGGGAGCGAACAGGAUUAGAUACCCGGGUAGUCC